CCACGCCUGGCUAAUUUUUGUGUUUUUAGUAGAGACGGGGGAGACAGUAGUUUAAAUAAGUCCUGGCGUGAAUGCCUUACCCAGAGGGGGCAUAAAAUGAGGGGUCUAAGGCCAGCACCCUGGGAAAUGUCAACGUAAGAACUGCCAGGGGAGGAGGAUCCAGGAAGGGUCAGUGAUGGGGAUGACAAAGGGGGUGUCAUGGGGAAAAGGGCAGAGGAGGAGGGACUAGUGACCACCUCUGCUCUGAGGUCAUGUGGAGCAAGACUGAAAAGAGGCCGGGGAUUGGGAAAUGAGGCCACUGGUGGCCUUGUCCCUGGCGGCUCUGGGAUGUGGGCCAGAAGCCAGUCCCUGGUGUUGAAAUAGGAUCCAAAGAACAGCUCAACUCCAAAUAGGCGCAUUUCCAUCGCCUCCAUCGCCGCUGUAGCUGGUGGCUGUCAGAUUGGACAGCACGGUAGAGGCGGGUCAGGAAAUGCAAGGAGAGCACUUUUGGAAGCGUCUGGAUCCUGGGCCCUCGGGGAGGGCAGGGCCUGGGUCCUGAUGUGAGGAGCCUGGAGCCUGUCCGUGGCCGAGAGGGCCUCCUUCCUCCUUCCUGGCCGACACGUCACCUGCUCCGUCCAGUCCACGAGAAGCAGCUGUGGCCCAAGCCCAUGACCUGCCUUUCUUCCCCAGCGUCACCAUCUGUGGCAGCCUGGGAUACGCAUGAGCUCCUCAGGAGGGCGGAGCUCCGUGGAACACACAUCUGGAUGACAGGAGGGAGCCAGGAGCUGUGAGAAGACGGGGGAGCUGCCGCCGCAAGAAUGCAAGACCCACGGGCUCUACGAUGCGGGGGAGCAGCGGGCAUCUGAGGAAGGGGCGUCAGGGGCACAUGGCCAGCCCUCUUCACCCCACAGUCUGCCCCAGGCCAGCCCCACUAGGAGUGACCCAUUUUCUCCUAGCAGGAUUCCUUGCAUGGGGUGGCCUGGACCCAAAACACCCGCUCUGAGGAUUCCCUGUUAACCACAGAGAAGGUUGACUCAAGUUUCUUUAUUUGGCCAUGAAACUGUGGGGCAUCUCACGGUGCUUCUUGGGUCCACUGGAGAGCCCUGGAAGCUCAGAAGAGGCAAGAGGGGCCUACUUCUCCCUUGUUUGGGCUUUGUUUGCUAAAUACCAAUAUUAGAUUAGGCAACUCUGCAAACAAAACCAAGGCCUGGCCAGCUGCCCAGGGUGUUUAAAGUCCAAGACAUGAAGGCAGGACGUGUGCCCGUGGACUUGCACACGCAAGCAGGCCGAGGGGAGAGCAGCCCGGCAGAGACCUUGGUGGUCCAGGGCUGAGCAAAGGCUUCCCCCACCGGUCCAUCCCAGUGCGCUCAGCACAGGAGUUAGCGGCCACACACUUCAACCAUUGUCUUAUUUUAGAAAAUGACAUCUGCUGGGCGCGGUGACUCACGCCUGUAAUCCCAGCAUUUUGAGAGGGCAAGGUCAGGAGUGAUCACUUUGGGUGGACCACGAGGUCAGGAGUUCAAGAUCAGCCUGGCCAACAUGGUGAAACUCCGUCUCUACUCAAAAUACAAAA
This 1552-nucleotide long non-coding RNA is filed under the name Homo sapiens (human). Its description in RNAcentral is "HSALNT0290319". Lineage: Eukaryota; Metazoa; Chordata; Mammalia; Primates; Hominidae. The record is from RNAcentral.